This 788-nucleotide long non-coding RNA is filed under the name Homo sapiens (human). Its description in RNAcentral is "non-protein coding lnc-CLEC2D-9:1". The record is from RNAcentral. Lineage: Eukaryota; Metazoa; Chordata; Mammalia; Primates; Hominidae.
AGCAGUGAAGGAUCCAGUGAGAUUUUCCAGGUUAACGGUCAUAACCGCCUACUGGUCCAACGUUCAGAAGUAACACAGGCACCUGGAGAAUACACAGUAGAUGUGGAAGGACACGGUUGUACAUUUAUCCAGGCCACCCUUAAGUACAAUGUUCUCCUACCUAAGAAGGCAUCUGGAUUUUCUCUUUCCUUGGAAAUAGUAAAGAACUACUCUUCGACUGCUUUUGACCUCACAGUGACCCUCAAAUACACUGGAAUUCGCAAUAAAUCCAGUAUGGUGGUUAUAGAUGUAAAAAUGCUAUCAGGAUUUACUCUGGACAUUGAGUUCUGCAGUGGCGCUGUCAUUUUUUCUAAUAUCUAUUCUCUAUCCUUCCCUAACAAUUUCUUCAAAGCUUGAAAACAAGGGCCAAGUGAUGAAGACUGAAGUCAAGAAUGACCAUGUUCUUUUCUACUUGGAAAAUGGUUUUGGUCGAGCAGACAGUUUCCCUUUUUCUGUUGAGCAGAGCAACCUUGUGUUCAACAUUCAGCCAGCCCCAGCCAUGGUCUACGAUUAUUACGAAAAAGAAGAAUAUGCCCUAGCUUUUUACAACAUCGACAGUAGUUCAGUUUCCCAGUGAGACAAAGCAAUUACUGGAAGAGGUGGAAAAGCAUUUCUUGUAACAAACCGAUUCUUCUGUAUCAAACCUGGAAAAAAAUCAUGAACCAUCUGACAUCGUGAACAGUUUGCAGUGGGCUAUGGUUUCUUGUCAAGUCUUAUUUCCUUAUCAUCCCAUUAAAUGUUGUCAUUUU